This 45-nucleotide non-coding RNA is filed under the name Pelobates cultripes (western spadefoot toad). It matches the Rfam family "Histone 3' UTR stem-loop". Rfam says of the family: The mRNAs of metazoan histone genes lack a poly-A tail. 3' end processing occurs at a site between a highly conserved stem-loop (modelled by this family) and a purine rich region around 20 nts downstream (the histone downstream element, or HDE). The stem-loop is bound by a 31 kDa stem-loop binding protein (SLBP - also termed the histone hairpin binding protein, or HBP). The record is from RNAcentral. Lineage: Eukaryota; Metazoa; Chordata; Amphibia; Anura; Pelobatidae.
ACAAAGGCUCUUUUGAGAGCCACCCACAAUCCACAGAAAUAGCUC